AGUAGGCGGAGGAAAAGAAAAUAAUCGAAUGAUUCCCUGAGUAGUGGCGAGCGAAAGGGGAAAAGCCCAAACUUAUUUCGUUAAGGCGAGAUGAGGGUUGUAGGACCACGAUAUUUGUAUUACAAAUGAAUCUGAACUGUCUGGGAAGGCGGGCCAUAGAGGGUGAAAGCCCCGUAAGGGUAAGUUUGUAGUAUGAUAGUGGUAUCCUGAGUAGGGCGGGGUCGGAGACGCCCCGUUUGAAACUGCCAGCACCAUCUGGUAAGGCUAAAUACUACUGAGAGACCGAUAGUGAACCAGUACCGUGAGGGAAAGGUGAA
RNAcentral lists this ribosomal RNA (317 nucleotides) under Chloropicon mariensis. RNAcentral describes it as "partial Bacterial large subunit ribosomal RNA". It matches the Rfam family "Bacterial large subunit ribosomal RNA", at positions 205 to 518 of the family's 2925-position model. Lineage: Eukaryota; Viridiplantae; Chlorophyta; Chloropicophyceae; Chloropicales; Chloropicaceae. The record is from RNAcentral.